Non-coding RNA from Cinara cedri, 627 nucleotides. Lineage: Eukaryota; Metazoa; Arthropoda; Insecta; Hemiptera; Aphididae. The record is from the annotation of a GenBank genome assembly.
CAGACUUUUCGUUUUGCAUUUAUCUUUUCAAUGUAUAUGAUACAUAGUUUUUUGAAUGGAUUUAAAAUAAUUUAUAAGGUACUUCAGAAUCUGCUUUUAAAAACUCAGUUCUAAAAACGAACCUUAAUCUUAAAACAUAAUAGCUAAAGCCAAGGUAUGUGCUAUCGCAAAGUGCUCUUAUCUGUGCUAACUGGAUAAAUUCCUCUGCAGGGAGUCAAUUUGACACAGAACGGCGCUAGUCCUGGGCAGUGGUAUCUACUGGUGUCCUCUUGUUCCAGUAGUGUAGUUGGUAUUGAAACUAACACGCACACGGGGAAGAGCAGUAUAAAUAAUGACACAAAAAAUCUCCUCUCCUGUAAAGGGUAAGGUUGGAAGGCCACAACCGAAACACUGCAAUACCCGACCAGUGGCUGAUACUUAAAACCAACUGUGGACCGCAAUAGCGCUCGUUUACUGGACUUGCAGCACUCCCGGCUAUCACAUAUAGAUUGAAAUGCUAAAUAAACAAUAUAAUAAUAUACUAACAUGACAUAAUAUUCAUAAUGAAAUACGAUACACAACACUUUUCAAAACUAUAUACAAAUAUAAAAUGCCUUUAAUGUUAACAUGCGUUUACUUUAUUUACGG